UGCCUUACACAUGCAAGUCGAACGGUAACAGGUCUUCGGAUGCUGACGAGUGGCGAACGGGUGAGUAAUACAUCGGAACGUGCCCGAUCGUGGGGGAUAACGAAGCGAAAGCUUUGCUAAUACCGCAUACGAUCUACGGAUGAAAGCAGGGGACCGCAAGGCCUUGCGCGAACGGAGCGGCCGAUGGCAGAUUAGGUAGUUGGUGGGAUAAAAGCUUACCAAGCCGACGAUCUGUAGCUGGUCUGAGAGGACGACCAGCCACACUGGGACUGAGACACGGCCCAGACUCCUACGGGAGGCAGCAGUGGGGAAUUUUGGACAAUGGGCGAAAGCCUGAUCCAGCCAUGCCGCGUGCAGGAUGAAGGCCUUCGGGUUGUAAACUGCUUUUGUACGGAACGAAAAGACUCUGGUUAAUACCUGGGGUCCAUGACGGUACCGUAAGAAUAAGCACCGGCUA
Molecule: ribosomal RNA, 457 nt
Filed under: uncultured bacterium
Lineage: Bacteria
Description: bacterial SSU rRNA
Rfam family: Bacterial small subunit ribosomal RNA
Source: RNAcentral